This 292-nucleotide ribosomal RNA is filed under the name uncultured prokaryote. RNAcentral describes it as "partial 16S ribosomal RNA". It matches the Rfam family "Bacterial small subunit ribosomal RNA", at positions 505 to 796 of the family's 1533-position model. The record is from RNAcentral.
GUGCCAGCCGCCGCGGUAAUACGUAGGUGGCAAGCGUUGUCCGGAAUUAUUGGGCGUAAAGCGCUCGCAGGCGGUCUUUUAAGUCUGAUGUGAAAGCCCACGGCUUAACCGUGGAGGGUCAUUGGAAACUGGAGGACUUGAGUACAGAAGAGGAGAGUGGAAUUCCACGUGUAGCGGUGAAAUGCGUAGAGAUGUGGAGGAACACCAGUGGCGAAGGCGACUCUCUGGUCUGUAACUGACGCUGAGGAGCGAAAGCGUGGGUAGCGAACAGGAUUAGAUACCCCCGUAGUCC